UAGGGAAUCUUCCGCAAUGGGCGAAAGCCUGACGGAGCAACGCCGCGUGAGUGAUGAAGGUUUUCGGAUCGUAAAGCUCUGUUGCCAGGGAAGAACGUCUUGUAGAGUAACUGCUACAAGAGUGACGGUACCUGAGAAGAAAGCCCCGGCUAACUACGUGCCAGCAGCCGCGGUAAUACGUAGGGGGCAAGCGUUGUCCGGAAUUAUUGGGCGUAAAGCGCGCGCAGGCGGCUCUUUAAGUCUGGUGUUUAAUCCCGAGGCUCAACUUCGGGUCGCACUGGAAACUGGGGAGCUUGAGUGCAGAAGAGGAGAGUGGAAUUCCACGUGUAGCGGUGAAAUGCGUAGAGAUGUGGAGGAACACCAGUGGCGAAGGCGACUCUCUGGGCUGUAACUGACGCUGAGGCGCGAAAGCGUGGGGAGCAAACAGG
RNAcentral lists this ribosomal RNA (428 nucleotides) under uncultured bacterium. Its description in RNAcentral is "bacterial SSU rRNA". It matches the Rfam family "Bacterial small subunit ribosomal RNA", at positions 355 to 776 of the family's 1533-position model. The record is from RNAcentral.